AAAAUAGGUCAAGCUACUAAGAGCGCACAGAGGAUGACUUGGCAUCAGGAGCUGAUGAAGGACGUGAUAAGCUGCGAUAAGCUACGGGUAGACGCAAAUAGUCAUGGAUCCGUAGAUUUCCGAAUGGGGGAACCCACAUAGUGAGAGACUAUGUAUCUAGUAAUGAAUUAAUAGUUAUUAGAAGGUAGACGCAGGGAACUGAAACAUCUAAGUACCUGUAGGAAGAGAAAGAAAUAUCGAUUCCCUAAGUAGUGGCGAGCGAAAGGGGAAGAGCCCAAACCCAAGGAAACUUGGGGGUUGAGGGGUCUAUAAUUGAGAAAGUAGGUUAGAUGAAUAUAGAUGGAAAUCUAAGCCGAAGAGUGUAAUAGACCACGUAAUUAAAACUAGAAAUUAGAGAGAGAC
This 402-nucleotide ribosomal RNA is filed under the name Candidatus Arthromitus sp. SFB-mouse-SU. RNAcentral describes it as "bacterial LSU rRNA". It matches the Rfam family "Bacterial large subunit ribosomal RNA", at positions 1 to 406 of the family's 2925-position model. Lineage: Bacteria; Bacillati; Bacillota; Clostridia; Eubacteriales; Clostridiaceae. The record is from RNAcentral.